Molecule: ribosomal RNA, 497 nt
Filed under: uncultured bacterium
Lineage: Bacteria
Description: partial 16S ribosomal RNA
Rfam family: Bacterial small subunit ribosomal RNA
Source: RNAcentral
GAUGAACGCUGGCGGCGUGCCUAAUACAUGCAAGUCGAGCGAACAGAUGAGGAGCUUGCUCCUCUGACGUUAGCGGCGGACGGGUGAGUAACACGUGGAUAACCUACCUAUAAGACUGGGAUAACUUCGGGAAACCGGAGCUAAUACCGGAUAAUAUCUUGAACCGCAUGGUUCAUUAGUGAAAGACGGUUUUGCUGUCACUUAUAGAUGGAUCCGCGCCGCAUUAGCUAGUUGGUAAGUUAACGGCUUACCAAGGCAACGAUGCGUAGCCGACCUGAGAGGGUGAUCGGCCACACUGGAACUGAGACACGGUCCAGACGCCUACGGGAGGCAGCAGUAGGGAAUCUUCCGCAAUGGGCGAAAGCUUGACGGAGCAACGCCGCGUGAGUGAUGAAGGUCUUCGGAUCGUAAAACUCUGUUAUUAGGGAAGAACAAAUGUGUAAGUAACUAUGCACGUCUUGACGGUACCUAAUCAGAAAGCCACGGCUAACUACGUG